Molecule: unclassified non-coding RNA, 232 nt
Filed under: fungal sp.
Lineage: Eukaryota; Fungi
Description: partial internal transcribed spacer region
Rfam family: Eukaryotic small subunit ribosomal RNA (bases 1-45)
Source: RNAcentral
AGUCGUAACAAGGUAUCCGUAGGUGAACCUGCGGAUGGAUCAUUAUAGGGUGUUGGGUAAUUGUGAGUGGUUUUAUUAUUAGUAGUUUGAGCGGUGUUGGUUGGGAUGCGAAGCAGGAUUGCCAAGCAGGAUUGCCAAGCAAGACAGCCAACAUUGCCUCACGUUAAACUCUAUAAAUCUAACAAUUACAUACAAAAAAAAACAACUUUUAGCAACGGAUCUCUUGGCUCUC